This 667-nucleotide ribosomal RNA is filed under the name Antillogorgia acerosa. RNAcentral describes it as "partial 16S ribosomal RNA". It matches the Rfam family "Bacterial large subunit ribosomal RNA", at positions 1817 to 2596 of the family's 2925-position model. The record is from RNAcentral. Lineage: Eukaryota; Metazoa; Cnidaria; Anthozoa; Malacalcyonacea; Gorgoniidae. RNAcentral also lists the same sequence under 1 other name.
AGCUCUCUGCUAAAGGUUACUGAAGUAUAGAGGGUGAAUUCUGCCCAAUGGUUGUACAGUGAAACUGAGGACUAACGUCUAAAGCGAAACCCAACUGAAUGGCCGCGGUAACUCUGACCGUGAUAAUGUAGCACAAUAAAUAGCCAAUUAAUUGUUGGCGGGUAUGAAUGGAACCACGAGGGUCUUACUGUCUCAAGAGGAAAGCCGAUGAAAUUAUAGUUGUAGUGAAGAUACUACAUAAACAUUGUAAGACGAAAAGACCCUAUCGAGCUUUACUGGAUACCGAUAGCGUUAACCUAAAAUGAUCGAUACUAAGUAUCCUAAUUUUGAGUUAAUAAUUUUUGUUGGUAGGACAGUUUAGUUGGGGCGACUACCUUUGAAUAAGAAACGAAGGCGAGCUUAUGGUAUACAAAGCUAAUCUCAUUAGCCUGACAGUGAGGGGGACACCCCUAGCUGGCACAAGGACUACGUCCUAUGUGGGCGAUAAUGACCCGAUAUGAUAGUCCAAAAUAAAUAUCGAAAGCGGAUAAAAGCUACCGUAGGGAUAACAGCGUAAUAUUGUCGGAGAGUUCUUAUCGAGGACAGUGUUUGCGACCUCGAUGUUGAAUUGCGGUGCCCUGGUGCUGUAGAAGGUACCUUAGGUUGGUCUGUUCGACCAUGAAAACCG